GGUUCUUCUCCUCUCGCGGCGGAAACGAAGAAAGCCGGCUUAGGGCUCUUCCUCCGGCGGCCGGCCAAAGCUUUCCGAGGGGUUUUCUUCACCUCCUUAAGGUCGUAUUGUCGAGGGGAGCACGCGGGCACAAAAGGAUCACCGAGAUCUCAAGCUUUUCCCGAAACCCUAGCAAUCUUUCUUCUCGGUUGUAAGUCCAAGCAAUCAAGGGGCUUCCUUGUGCCGAACUUGAUUCAUGCUAGGGCUGGAUUGUAUUCCAUGCUGUGCCGAAUUGGGAGAAUGGAUUUGGGUUUUAAGAUGGCUGUUCGGACCCCUGAAUUGUGCCACAGUGACUAUGCCAAACCUCCUCUAAAGCAUUAGGAUGCUGAAUUUUUAUGUCAAGGAUAAAGGAAAAGCUAAGAUAUGAAGGGAGGCGACAGGGUGGUGGUGAUGAUGGAUGUGUG
This is a long non-coding RNA of Zingiber officinale, 443 nucleotides long. RefSeq lists it as uncharacterized. The transcript has 3 exons. The record is from RefSeq and is a predicted model, not a curated record. NCBI's taxonomy places the organism in Eukaryota, Viridiplantae, Streptophyta, Magnoliopsida, Zingiberales, Zingiberaceae.